GUUUUUUUUUUUUUCAAUCUGUAAAAUUUGAGAAUUUUCUGUAUGAAUAGUUUUGUUUCUUCACUUGCUCUCAGUGUUUCUGCCUGUUCUUACAUUUUCUCAUCUAGCAUUAUGCUAUUAUCCUUAGGAGUUGCAAAGUAUCAGGGGAAGGGUGCAUGGGUGAUUUUAUCCCUGAGUCAUAUCUUGUUCUAUCACAUGCAAACACCUGUCCUGAAAUUGAAUUAUUCUGCAGGGUAAUCGAAAAGCCUCCCUCCAUUCAGCAUCAUAUGUUUUCUGUUGUUUAUUGAGUUAUGUUGCACCAUACUUCAGAUGCGACAGCCAUUUAAUAAUGUUGAAGACUGAGCUCUGCAGGGGCUAAAAGGAUCCCAGCAGGCUUGUUAACUUCUACUCUAAAACAUUAUAAGGAAUAUUUUUUCCUCUGUGAAACUUCUGGGCUUUCUCUUAAUUUAUUUUAAGAGCGUGAGAAUUUUUGAAUAGUUAUGAAAUUAAACUUGUGAUUUUUUUCUUUCCUCUUAGUAUUUAACACAUCUGUUUCACUACAUAUCUUACUAAAUAGUGGCAAAGAAAACCUUACUUUUUCAAAUACCUCACUUUCAAGGUGUGUUUCUUCAGUUGAUAUAAAAUCAUUAAAUAAAUUGCAUUCGGGAAAUACACUACUAGUUUCCUUGCUUUUCACUUUAAAAAAAAAUAAAAUUUGUAUUAGGGAAGAGGUUGUGGAAAGAAUCACUACUCUCAUCUAAUUUACCAGUUGAUUGAUGUUAGGUACAUUAGCAUAAUUUCUCUAAACUUUAUUGCCUCAUCAGUAAGACACAAGUAAUGAUGUCAGUGACCUUAUGACUUUUUAAUAUUAUAUGUAGGGUAAUAUUUUUCAAACUAUGAGAUGCUAUAUAAUUUCUCAGAUCUGUUUUAAAAUCAUCAAUAAAAAAUACCUUAAGAGAACUAUAUUUAUAGCUGUUUCACCAACAGGUUCCUUAUAGUUUUCAGAUGUUAAAGCUCAGGUAGACUAUGCUGUGAUGUGCAUAUUUUGAUUGUUUUUUUAAUCACUGAGUUUGGCAAGGAUCUGGCUGAGUUCUUUGUGAAGAGCUAAACUGAUAAAUUUUCUUGCUCCCAUGCCUGCAUUGUCAAAUAUUCUAAGAGAAAGAGAAAAUUAUCUAGUGGACAUCAGUAGAUGUGGAGAGCCAGUUGAAAUCAUUCAGUGCUCUUUCUCCUUCCUUACCAUAGGAACAGCAUCGUCGUUAAUUUCCACAUCUUCUCAUAGGUGCACCACAGACAUGUGUAUGCAUGUUUCACAUUGCUGACCCAAUACCUUCCUUUGGCUUGUAUUUUCUUUUUUUGAACAGAAACAGGGAGUUAUUCUAAAUGUAAAUUAAUGAGUUCAAGAGAAUCAUUGGAAAAAAGAAAUGGCUAAGUGCUUCUCAAGAAUUGGAGAACAUCUUUAACAAAUAAUGGAAAUUGAACAUAUUUAACAGAUGUUGAAAAAUCAGAAUAUGUUUACAUAUGUAUAGUAGCAUAGGUAGUAAAUAACACAGGUAAAUAUGAUUUUGAGGUGAAAGGGAAGUGGCUAUGCAGAGAUUUUCUUUUUCUUUUUAGUAAGUAGAGAGUGUUUGUGAAAUGAAGACAGUUAUUAUCCAGUAGGAGAAUAGGCUUGUGUUUUUAUGGAAAAGAAUGGCAGUGAUUCCUAAAAGACUUAGAAUACUAACCAAGAAAGAUUAAAAUAAAGGAAAAAGAAAUAUUCAAGCCAGGGUGCAAUGCAGUAUCUAGAAGGAACUUUGUCAAGGUGGAAUGUGAAUGUCUGUUUUCCUUCAGUAUUUAUAGAAGUUUUGUAGAGAUUGGAAAAUUUAAAAAGGGGGAAAGAUAAAUUUUUCAUGACUUGACUCAUGAGUGAGAUCUUAGGCUGGAAAAGCAGAUUGUCAUAGUUGAUGUUAUUAUUAUUUUUACUUAAAUCUUUUAAAUAUUUGGUAGACUAAUUAGAAAGCAUAACUAAAACAAAAUACUUUUAAGGUGGGUAGAAAAUCAUAUCUCAUUUGUAUCUCAUCUGCAUUUGAAUUCAUAUUUUAGGGGACAUUCUUGAGAAAGUAGAUGAAAGCUUUGAACUACAGGAGAACUUCUGAAAGGGCAAUUUCUUGCUCAACCCACCACAACUGGAUGAUUGAUAGAAGCAUAAAAAGGAUAAAGGUCAAGAAGGAGAGAAAGAGAUAUAUGCUUUUAGAUCAUGGAGAGUGAUGGACAUUUCUUUAGAUUUUAGCAAAUCUGGAAAAUUCUGAAGAUAUAUUUUCUCCAAAACUUUACAUAGUAAAAAUAGAUGAAAUACAUUUUCAAACGUAGACCAUAUAAAUUUAAUUAUGUAGAAUAGUGAUAAUUAGUGGUAGUAAAUCAGUGAUAGGAAGAUAAUUUUCCUAGGGAAUGACUUUUCUAUGGAAAAUGUUCAUUUUAUAGAUUAAAUGAGGUGAAUGAUGGUUUUAAUGGAGUUAAAGGAAAAAGAUAAAGAUGAGGUGUGGAUGGGUGGGAAGUGAGAAGAAAUGGAAUCUUCUAUUAAACAUAAAUAUUUUGCAUUCCUGUUUUAGUCCCAUGAAAAACAAAAUAGAGAAUAAUGAUUUGUUUUCUUCACUCUCGAAUAGAUGUUUUCUUUCCUUCUGUAAGGCUGCUCUAUAUAGAGUUAAACUCAUUGUGAGGUGGAGUUGUUUUGGAUUUUCCAUGCAUGAUUUUCUUAACAUGAAUAUGAUUUUGAAUGAUGUGGAAGUAAGUUGUGUAUUUUUCAAGCUGCGGGCUACAAUACAUUAGUGGUCUGUGAAAGUGUGUUGGAUUAAACUACUGGUUCAGGUAUGUAUGUUGACCAAAAUACAUAUGUGUGCACGUACUGGCUGCUGUGUAAAAUGUCUUUCUCACUAAUGGUUGUGAUCAGAAAGUUUGAGAAACACUAGUAAUAGCAACAAUACUAUUGUACAAGGAAUGAAGUUGUAUUUGAACCAUCAUUAACAAGAUAAAAACUUAAAUGUGUUGGUAUAAUAGCGUGUCUUUAUUUCUGCUAGGUAGGUCUAUACCCACGUUAUGUGUUCAUGAAUGCAUGGUAUUAUUAAGAACAUAGUAAACCCUUGAUGAAUUGAAUUCAACUGAACAAAUCAUUAAGUAGGAACUGUUAAUCCUCUAGGACUUUUAAGUUCUGUGGAUAUAUAUGUACACAUCCACCCAUGUUGUCUGGCUUAAGGAACCUAAACUUUUCCAUAUUCCUGACUGCAUUGUUUCAGUACCCUUAUAAUUCCCCUACUCUAGAUGGGCCUUCAUUCAAAUGCUUGAUUCCCUAUUUGUAUUUGCAGUCCUCAGUCGAAGCAAUGGACAAAUUUAAGAUGAUAUAAUUAAAAUUUUUGAAAACUUCCAAAGCAAUCUCACAUCUAUUUAAAAACCCUUAGGAUUCUUCAAUUCAUUCUUGCUUUAGUCCUCCAACUCUAGACAAGUAGAAUAGACUGAUAUGAUACCUACCUUGGUGCCUUAUGUGGUUUUGUGUUGUAGUAUUAAGUUUUGCUCUAUUCCAAGGGAUAUUUUGCAGACUACUAGAAGCCUUUGUUUCACCUAAAUAAAAUAAAGUGUUAUAUUGGAAGAGACAAAGAAGAGAAGAGAGAGAGGAAAGAAG
This 3628-nucleotide long non-coding RNA is filed under the name Marmota monax (woodchuck). Lineage: Eukaryota; Metazoa; Chordata; Mammalia; Rodentia; Sciuridae. The record is from RNAcentral.